AAUAAUAUGUGAAGUGAAUAGGGAGCCUACAUCCUGGGAACAAAUUUUUACCCCUCACACAUCAGAUAGAGCUCUAAUCUCUAGGGUAUAUAUAGUCUAUUUUUAAGUUUAGAUUUUCUACCCAUAUAAAAAAGAAUCAAGAUGCAAAAUCACUUAAGAGCAAAUAGCUUGUAGUUUCCUUGGCUUGGAUAAACAGCAAACUGGUAAGCUGGGUCAGGACCUUAGGGGAUCUAAAGUCAGAAAAGCAUUCAUUUCAAUGCCAUAAAAUGUAUAUGUGUGAAUUUAUUGUUUUAUAAAUCAGGGUUCCUAAACAAAAGCUUUAAUGACAGAUAAUUUCUUCUUAGAGUGGCUGUCUUGUGUACUGUUGGAUAUUUAACAGCAUCCCUGGCUUCUACCCAGUAGAUGCUAAUAGCAAUUCCCUUCCCAGAUAUGACAAAUAAAACUGUCUCCAGAAAUUGCCAAUCUUAUCUUACAGGGAAACACUGCCCCUGAUUGAGAACCAUUUGCUUAAGUAAAAGAACCAACAUAAUAGUUAAGUCUACUGAACUUUCUGGAAUCAUAGAAUGGCAGGCCUGGAAGAGACUUCAAUCAAUUCUUCAUGUGAUAGGUGAGGAGGUUGAGGUGUGAAGAGAU
RNAcentral lists this long non-coding RNA (633 nucleotides) under Marmota monax (woodchuck). The record is from RNAcentral. Lineage: Eukaryota; Metazoa; Chordata; Mammalia; Rodentia; Sciuridae.